GACGAACGCUGGCGGCGUGCUUAACACAUGCAAGUCGAGCGGUAAGGCCUUUCGGGUACACGAGCGGCGAACGGGUGAGUAACACGUGGGUGACCUGCCUUUAGCUUCGGGAUAAGCCUGGGAAACCGGGUCUAAUACCGGAUAUGACCUCAUGUCGCAUGGUGUGGGGUGGAAAGUUCUUCGGCUAAGAGAUGGGCCUGCGGCCUAUCAGCUUGUUGGUGGGUGAUUGGCCUACCAAGGCGACGACGGGUAGCCGGCCUGAGAGGGCGGCCGGCCACACUGGGACUGAGAUAC
This 294-nucleotide ribosomal RNA is filed under the name uncultured bacterium. RNAcentral describes it as "partial 16S ribosomal RNA". It matches the Rfam family "Bacterial small subunit ribosomal RNA", at positions 28 to 327 of the family's 1533-position model. The record is from RNAcentral.